This 70-nucleotide transfer RNA is filed under the name Bubo bubo (Eurasian eagle-owl). Its description in RNAcentral is "tRNA-Glu". The record is from RNAcentral. Lineage: Eukaryota; Metazoa; Chordata; Aves; Strigiformes; Strigidae.
GUUUCUAUAGUUAAGAGUUGGUUAACGGCGGUUUUGGCUGUAAGCCUUGGAUAGAGUUCAGGCAGAAAUA